Molecule: long non-coding RNA, 710 nt
Organism: Zea mays
Lineage: Eukaryota; Viridiplantae; Streptophyta; Magnoliopsida; Poales; Poaceae
Exons: 2
Source: RefSeq, a predicted model, not a curated record
ACCUCACCGGCCAUGGGGGUUACAUAGAGGACGUGGUAUCAACAGAUGCUUGGAAAGUUUUCUGUCGCCAAAUGGGAAACAAGAUAUUGUAGGCCUGGAGCCGCGAAACAACGACACCGCAAGACCGUACAACAGCUUCAGGUGAGCAGCCAUCUAUGAGCAGCCCUCCUGCCACCGAGGCCUGUGCUGGCAACGACGGAAGCCAUUUGGCGGGAUCUCAGCCAGAUGCUACGCCAUAUGCUUCUACCAGCACAACAUAGUGGAUGAGUUCCGAAGCAUUAGCAAGCCAGCAAUGUGGAUCACUACAACCAAUUUCGAUAAACCGAGCUGAACGUACCCUUGAGAUGAAGGGCAGCCCCAAUAAUCUUCACGGGCACCCAGGCAUGCAGCAAACUGCGAAUGGUUUCAAUGAUGUUCCAGGACCAAUGAUGUUCCCACAUGUGGCUCAACUGGUGGUGAAUCAGAUGCAGACACAUACGGCUGAUUGAUAACGUUGUGUGUGUGCCGGGGGGGUCGUGUUGCCUUUGAUCCGUCGCGCCUCAACCUGGGGCUGCAAUUGUGAGCCUGUUGUGUAAUUGCUUAAGUAGUUCUUAGGAUGAUAGUGUGCAUAGAUGUGUUGGGUGGAUGCUGUAACAGCGGUGACCGGUGAGUUGCGAUUCUGAAUGUGUAGCAGAAAAACCACAGGCGAAAUGAAACAUCUGUAUAGAUUA